ACGCUCGACACCUACGUGAGGCAGCAGUGGGGAAUAUUGCACAAUGGGGGAAACCCUGAUGCAGCGACGCCGCGUGAGCGAAGAAGUAUUUCGGUAUGUAAAGCUCUAUCAGCAGGGAAGAAACUGACGGUACCUGACUAAGAAGCACCGGCUAAAUACGUACCAGCAGCCGCGGUAAUCUGAGCGGGCUGGCAAGGC
Molecule: ribosomal RNA, 198 nt
Filed under: uncultured bacterium
Lineage: Bacteria
Description: partial 16S ribosomal RNA
Rfam family: Bacterial small subunit ribosomal RNA
Source: RNAcentral